RNAcentral lists this unclassified non-coding RNA (205 nucleotides) under soil metagenome. RNAcentral describes it as "partial contains 5.8S ribosomal RNA, internal transcribed spacer 2, and large subunit ribosomal RNA". The record is from RNAcentral.
AACGGUCUAUACCUGCGGUACCUGCGGAGGGAUCAUUAUUGAUUUUUAAAGGAUGUGCUGGCCUUUUGGCAUGUGCACUCUUAACAAAAACCAAUAUCCACCUGUGCACAAUCUGUAGGCAUAUUGCCUAUGUUCUUUACAAACAACUAUGAUAUAUUUGAAUGACUUAAAAAUAUUGUAAAACAACUUUCAACAAUGGAUCUCU